GUUCUUCAUCCAUCUCUUCUUACUUGGACUAAGAAUCGACGC
This 42-nucleotide small RNA is filed under the name Arabidopsis thaliana (thale cress). Its description in RNAcentral is "ATSL004290". Lineage: Eukaryota; Viridiplantae; Streptophyta; Magnoliopsida; Brassicales; Brassicaceae. The record is from RNAcentral.